This 482-nucleotide long non-coding RNA is filed under the name Homo sapiens (human). Its description in RNAcentral is "non-protein coding lnc-CXXC1-3:2". The record is from RNAcentral. Lineage: Eukaryota; Metazoa; Chordata; Mammalia; Primates; Hominidae.
GUGUGCAGCCUGCCAGGUAACAGAAGACUGUGGGGCCUGCUCCACCUGCCUCCUGCAGCUGCCCCAUGAUGUGGCAUCGGGGCUGUUCUGCAAGUGUGAACGGAGACGCUGCCUCCGGAUUGUGGAAAGGGUGAGUUGGGCAAGUGGAAAGAGCCCAAGGCUCACCUCGGCCCCUGGCCCCCAUGGGCUUGGCCCCAUGCUUCAUGCCUCUGCUCCCACCUGCCCCCCGCCAACAGAGCCGAGGGUGUGGAGUAUGCCGGGGCUGUCAGACCCAAGAGGAUUGUGGCCAUUGCCCCAUCUGCCUUCGCCCUCCCCGCCCUGGUCUCAGGCGCCAGUGGAAAUGUGUCCAGCGACGUUGCCUACGGGGUAAACAUGCCCGCCGCAAGGGAGGCUGUGACUCCAAGAUGGCUGCCAGGCGGCGCCCCGGAGCCCAGCCACUGCCUCCACCACCCCCAUCACAGUCCCCAGAGCCCACAGAGCCG